UACGUAGGGGGCAAGCGUUGUCCGGAAUCAUUGGGCGUAAAGCGAGCGUAGGCGGCCCGAUAAGUCUGCUGUAAAAGUCAACGGCUCAACCGUUGAAAGCCGGUGGAUACUGUCGGGCUAGAGUUCGGAAGAGGCAAGUGGAAUUCCUGGUGUAGCGGUGGAAUGCGCAGAUAUCAGGAGGAACACCUAUAGCGAAGGCAGCUUGCUGGGACGACACUGACGCUGAGGCGCGAAAGCGUGGGGAGCGAACAGG
Molecule: ribosomal RNA, 253 nt
Filed under: uncultured bacterium
Lineage: Bacteria
Description: partial 16S ribosomal RNA
Rfam family: Bacterial small subunit ribosomal RNA
Source: RNAcentral